Molecule: non-coding RNA, 45 nt
Organism: Paramecium tetraurelia
Lineage: Eukaryota; Ciliophora; Oligohymenophorea; Peniculida; Parameciidae
Source: Rfam
AUAUAGGAUUUCCUAAAAUCCAUAUUUUUUAAUAAAUAAAUGAAA